CACGUAAGUUGCGAGCGUUGUUCGGAAUUAUUGGGCGUAAAGGGCAUGUAGGCGGUUCUGCAAGUCUGGUGUGAAAGGCGGGAGCUCAACUCCCGGACUGCGUUGGAAACUGCAGGACUUGAGUCACUGAGGGGCAAUCAGAAUUCCUGGUGUAGGGGUGAAAUCUGUAGAUAUCAGGAAGAAUACCAAUGGCGAAGGCAGGUUGCCAGCAGAUGACUGACGCUGAGGUGCGAAGGUGCGGGGAGCAAAC
RNAcentral lists this ribosomal RNA (250 nucleotides) under uncultured prokaryote. Its description in RNAcentral is "partial 16S ribosomal RNA". It matches the Rfam family "Bacterial small subunit ribosomal RNA", at positions 524 to 773 of the family's 1533-position model. The record is from RNAcentral.